RNAcentral lists this transfer RNA (74 nucleotides) under Pteropus alecto (black flying fox). It matches the Rfam family "tRNA". Rfam says of the family: Transfer RNA (tRNA) molecules are approximately 80 nucleotides in length. Lineage: Eukaryota; Metazoa; Chordata; Mammalia; Chiroptera; Pteropodidae. The record is from Rfam by way of RNAcentral.
GGCUCUAUUGUGUAGUGGUUAGCACAUCUGCUUUGCAUGCAGAAGGUUCUGGGUUCACGUCCUAGGUGGAGACA